GGCAGAAACCCUUUUGAUUGAUAGCCCAUCUGCAGCCUGCUGGAAUCCAUCCUCUUCCCACUUGCUGCUCCCCACCCAGCAAUUUCCAACUCAGAGCAAACCCGUGUGCCAGCCCUGCUGGUUUCAGCCUGCCUGCCCGGCAUCCCUCUCUCAUUCUGUCUCAUUCCCGACAGGGUUAACAUCUCUUCUGUCUCUGCCAGGAACACCCAGCUGAGGAAGAGAGAGCCGGAGAGCGAUAAGUGGGAUUCUUCCUUUUCUUUUUCGGAUUCUCCUUUCCUCCCUCCCCAUCACCGUAGAGACGGUCUCCGGGGCGAGCGAAGGUGUCAGCGUGCGGAGAGGCAGGGGAAGCAUAGCAACAGGACUUCAGGAUGAAGAAGGUCCAGGAGCACCAUCUCCGGGAGACCAGAUGGGGUUCUAACCUGCAGCUGGGUCUUCUGCCAUCUCCAUCCCUGUGCAGAAAACAGCCCAUAAUUCCAGACCUGCUGAUCAGCCCCAGCGACCAAGGCGAUGGGGACCUGGAGAUGGAGUACCCAGAAGAGAGAGGGAACUGGACCGGGAAGCUGGAUUUCCUUCUCUCCUGUAUUGGCUACUGUGUGGGGUUGGGGAAUGUGUGGCGGUUUCCAUACAGAGCUUACACCAAUGGGGGAGGAGCUUUCCUUGUUCCUUACUUCAUCAUGCUGGCAAUAUGUGGAAUCCCCAUCUUCUUCAUGGAGCUCUCGCUAGGCCAGUUCUCCAGCCUGGGGCCACUUGCAGUCUGGAAGAUAAGCCCGCUCUUUAAAGGUGUCGGGAUGGGCACGAUCCUGAUUGUCUCUCUGGUGGCCAUUUACUAUAACAUGAUCAUUGCUUACGUGCUCUUCUACCUCUUCGCAUCCCUGACGAGCAACUUGCCCUGGGAGCACUGCGGCAACUGGUGGAACACUGACCUCUGUUUGGAUCACCAGGUCAUCAAGGCAGGGAAUGCUGCCAUCCCAUUCAACGUCACGAACACCGUCAGCCCGAGCGAGGAGUACUGGAAUCGAUAUGUUCUGCAUAUCCAAGGGAGCUCUGGGAUCGGGGAUCCUGGGAGAAUCCGCUGGAAUCUGUGCCUAUGCCUACUGCUCUCCUGGGUCAUUGUGUACCUCUGUAUCCUCAAGGGAGUCAAAUCCUCCGGCAAGGUUGUGUAUUUCACUGCCACAUUCCCUUACUUCAUCCUGAUCAUGCUGCUCAUUCGUGGCGUAACACUGGAGGGGGCCUGGAUAGGAAUCAAGUUCUACCUCACACCCCAGUUUGAUCACCUGCUGUCUUCCAAGGUGUGGAUAGAGGCAGCUCUGCAGAUCUUCUACUCCCUUGGAGUGGGCUUUGGGGGACUGCUCACUUUUGCGUCUUAUAACACCUUCCACCAGAACAUUUACAGGGAUACAUUUAUAGUCACCGUGGGCAAUGCCAUCACCAGCAUCCUGGCCGGGUUUGCCAUCUUCUCCGUCCUGGGCUACAUGUCGCAGGAGCUGGGCAUCCCUGUUAACCAAGUGGCAAAAGCAGGUCCCGGCUUGGCUUUCGUGGUGUAUCCCCAGGCCAUGACGAUGCUUCCUCUUUCUCCACUCUGGUCUUUCCUUUUCUUCUUCAUGCUGCUAACCCUGGGCCUGGACAGCCAGUUUGCCUUCAUGGAGACCAUUGUUACCGCAGUGACCGAUGAGUUUCCUUAUUACCUGCGUCCCAAGAAGGCUUUUUUCUCAGCCAUCAUCUGUAUCGCCAUGUACCUGAUGGGGCUCAUUCUCACGACAGAGGGUGGGAUGUACUGGCUAGUCCUGCUGGAUGACUACAGUGCUGGGUUUGGACUCAUGGUGGUGGUGAUUACAACCUGCCUGGUGGUGACACGUGUCUAUGGCAUGAAGCGGUUCUGCCGGGAUAUUCAUAUGAUGCUGGGCUUCCAACCAGGGCUGUACUUUAAAGCCUGCUGGAUGUUCCUGUCCCCGGCAAUGAUGCUGGCCCUGCUAGUGUACAAUAUAGUCAAGUACCAGCCCUCAGAGUAUGGGAGUUACCGUUUCCCAUACUGGGCCGAGGUCCUUGGCAUCCUGAUGGGGCUGUUCUCCUGCCUGAUGAUCCCCACAGGGAUGGUGGUCGCGGUGCUCAGAGAAGAAGGGACACUGUGGGAGAGAAUCCAGCAAGCCAGCCGGCCAGCCAUGGACUGGGGCCCUUCUCUGGAGGAGAACAGAACAGGCAUGUAUGUGGCUACCUUGGCCGGCAGCCAGUCCCCUAAACCCUUGAUGGUCCACAUGAGGAAAUACGGGGGAAUUACCAGCUAUGAGAACACAGCCAUCGAGGUGGACAAGGAGAUCGAGGAGGAAGAGGAGUCCAUGAUGUGAGGAGGCCACGAACCCAGUGGGGAGCAGAGAAGGGGGACUGCAUCCGAACUUGACAGUUGCACUUAGCACUUGGGCCGGUUAAACAGGCCUUUCUAGAGGCAGCUGCGAGCUGCUGACCUUCCAGCAUCCCAUGGGAUGCCCUGGCCUGUCCAGGAGAACGCUGCUGAGAAUUCCUAUGUUGCUGAGAUUUUCGUUCAGUGUGGCAGGCUGUGUAAUGAAUGUGUGUGUUAGCUCUCCAGUGUCCGGGACCAGCUGCCCAACCCUACCCUGCUCCAGGCCUGCCCCACCUUGCCUGGGUGCCCUCCGCUCAGAGUUAUGACUCAUCGACCCCUGUGUAAAGACUGCGACAUGCACCCACUUUGCACUCCUUUUGCCCAGGCAUCAGUGAGCAAGGCAGUGGAGAACAAGGCUAGUAGUAGCUGUUGUUGUUGCUAAUCCUGUUUAACUCCAAUGACACACGAACAUUGUGAAGAAAGGAUGUCUUUGUUAACCCCACCCUGUCAGUGGAGGGGUGUGAGUGCCCGUGGGUCCCACCUCUGCUGGGGUCCUCCAACAACAGCAGGGAAGACCAGAUUGGCUAUUCUUGAUAGGUAAGUCUAGGGAAAAGAAACCCCAUGUUAUAAAACAAACCAACCUGCCCCCUCCCAGGCCUUUCUGGGCACAUCAGAGAAAGGUAAAACCUGGCCCUGGGUCUGUGAUAAAUCAGUCCUUUGCAGGUUGCUCUUAAGAGGUAUUUGCACUCUGGGCCCCUCUUCACACUCGGGGUGAGGUGGUGUCAGGUAAACUCCGCCGUGGACUG
This is an RNA transcript of Gopherus evgoodei (Goodes thornscrub tortoise), 3141 nucleotides long. It is a transcript of the gene named solute carrier family 6 member 7, with no coding region annotated. NCBI's taxonomy places the organism in Eukaryota, Metazoa, Chordata, Testudines, Testudinidae. The record is from RefSeq and is a predicted model, not a curated record. The transcript is spliced from 16 exons.